CAAUCUCAAUCAAAUGCAAGACGUCAAAACUUUAAAGUUUUAUGUGCUUGCAUCAAAGAACCUGAGUCAUCUCCACAAACUCAGAUCAAUACUGUAGAACAUAAAUUAUCAUUGUGUACAUGUGCGAAUAGAACACAAAAAGAACCUUCCACGUGUUCUGAAAACAAACAAAACUACGCAAGAAAAUAUAAUCCUACAUCGAUAUGUGAUGGAACCCAAACAUCUGAUUAUCCCAUAAACUUUGUUACCGCUCUUCAGAAUCCACUGUUUGUGAAAAUAAUAUGCCCAGGAAAAUAAAAAAUACACGUAGA
Molecule: long non-coding RNA, 311 nt
Organism: Colias croceus (clouded yellow)
Lineage: Eukaryota; Metazoa; Arthropoda; Insecta; Lepidoptera; Pieridae
Exons: 3
Source: RefSeq, a predicted model, not a curated record